RNAcentral lists this long non-coding RNA (684 nucleotides) under Homo sapiens (human). RNAcentral describes it as "HSALNT0374140". The record is from RNAcentral. Lineage: Eukaryota; Metazoa; Chordata; Mammalia; Primates; Hominidae.
CAGAAAUGAAGUAAAGGCAUUUGGAAGGAGGAGUGAAGCAGAAUUGUUCCAAUCAUUGGGGAUUCAGCAGUGAACAAAACAGACACAAUUCCUUGGUUUCAAGAUACCUGCAUUCUGAUAAAACGUGUGAGACGAUAAUAACCAAGGUUGUGUCACACCUUUUCCUGAACUUUGGCUCAAUUGAAGAAGGAAACUUUCAGGGGAAUUCCAAUAGUAAACAACAGAACCAGCAGUUUUACAAUAAACUGCAGAGCUCCAUUUCAAAACACAAAAAUAGAGCGUCUCUGCAGUGAUGUACUGCCUUAAGGAAGGUAGAUUCCACCUUUGAAGGAGUCUUACAAAACCAUUGCCUUUAUCUACAUUUAGCAGGUAAAUGCAAUGAUUAAAUAUGAAGAAGAGCAUUGACAAGAUGAAAUGGGCUCAUUCUCAGCAAUGUUAUUUCAAAAAGAAAACCUGAGUGAUUCACGUAUUCAUAUGUCCAUCUGAAAAUGUCCUUCUCUCAACAAACUACUCAGUGAAAACUCAUCUUCAUAUAGUUAAUGCUGGAGUGCUAAUAAACUGUUGCAAAUUUCAAAAAUAGUGUCAUAACUUCCUAUACAGAGUCUAAAGAAAGUGGAGGUGUGAUGUAGUCUAGGGUUAUCAAUAGGGCAGCAUGACUUGAUGGGGCUUAAGACUUCUACACAC